Molecule: ribosomal RNA, 120 nt
Filed under: Pteropus alecto (black flying fox)
Lineage: Eukaryota; Metazoa; Chordata; Mammalia; Chiroptera; Pteropodidae
Also listed under: 1 other name
Source: RNAcentral
GGUUUUGGUCAUUAGAAAAAGCUAAAGACCUGAUCCCGUCUGAUCUCAGAAGGUAAGCAGGGUCGGGCUUAGUUAGUACUUGGAUAGGAGACCACUUAGGAAGACCAGGUGCUAUAGGCA